RNAcentral lists this ribosomal RNA (486 nucleotides) under uncultured bacterium. Its description in RNAcentral is "bacterial SSU rRNA". It matches the Rfam family "Bacterial small subunit ribosomal RNA", at positions 28 to 507 of the family's 1533-position model. The record is from RNAcentral.
GAUGAACGCUAGCUACAGGCUUAACACAUGCAAGUCGAGGGGCAGCGCAGUGUAGCAAUACAUGGGCGGCGACCGGCGCACGGGUGCGUAACGCGUAUCCAACCUUCCCGUUACUCUUGGAUAGCCUUCCGAAAGGGAGAUUAAUACAAGAUGGUAUUCAAAUUCCGCAUGUUAUUUGAAUUAAAGAUUAAUCGGUAACGGAUGGGGAUGCGUGACAUUAGAUAGUAGGCGGGGUAACGGCCCACCUAGUCUACGAUGUCUAGGGGUUCUGAGAGGAAGGUCCCCCACACUGGAACUGAGACACGGUCCAGACUCCUACGGGAGGCAGCAGUGAGGAAUAUUGGUCAAUGGUCGGAAGACUGAACCAGCCAAGUAGCGUGAAGGAUGAAGGUUCUAUGGAUUGUAAACUUCUUUUAUACGGGAAUAAAACCUCCCACGUGUGGGAGCUUGUAUGUACCGUAUGAAUAAGCAUCGGCUAACUCCGUG